UCUCCGUAGGUGAACCUGCGGAGGGAUCAUUGCAGAGCUCAUGCCCUACCGGGUAGAUCUCCCACCCUAUGUUAUUAUUACUUUGUUGCUUUGGCGGGCCGUUAGGCUCCGGCCCGACUACCGGCCCCGGCUGGUAAGCGCCCGCCAGAGGACCCAAAACCCUGAAUAUUAGUGUCGUCUGAGUACUAUAUAAUAGUUGAAACUUUCAACAACGGAUCUCUUGGUUCUG
Molecule: unclassified non-coding RNA, 229 nt
Filed under: plant metagenome
Description: partial contains small subunit ribosomal RNA, internal transcribed spacer 1, and 5.8S ribosomal RNA
Source: RNAcentral